GGUUAAGCGACUAAGCGUACACGGUGGAUGCCCUGGCAGUCAGAGGCGAUGAAGGACGUGCUAAUCUGCGAUAAGCGUCGGUAAGGUGAUAUGAACCGUUAUAACCGGCGAUUUCCGAAUGGGGAAACCCAGUGUGUUUCGACACACUAUCAUUAACUGAAUCCAUAGGUUAAUGAGGCGAACCGGGGGAACUGAAACAUCUAAGUACCCCGAGGAAAAGAAAUCAACCGAGAUU
RNAcentral lists this ribosomal RNA (235 nucleotides) under Escherichia coli. Its description in RNAcentral is "partial 23S ribosomal RNA". It matches the Rfam family "Bacterial large subunit ribosomal RNA", at positions 1 to 236 of the family's 2925-position model. Lineage: Bacteria; Pseudomonadati; Pseudomonadota; Gammaproteobacteria; Enterobacterales; Enterobacteriaceae. The record is from RNAcentral.